AUGCACCACACACACACACACACACACACACACGCCCUGGGGAUCCGUGCACCACACACACACACACACACACACGCCCUGGGGAUCCGUGCACCACACACACACACACGCCCUGGGGAUCCGUGCACGAGUCUCUCUCACACACACAUACUCACACACACGCCCUGGGGAUCCGUGCACGAGACACACACACACACACACACGCCCUGGGGAUCCAUGCACGACACACACACACACACACACGCCCUGGGGAUCCGUGCACCACACACACACACACACACACACACACGCCCUGGGGAUCCGUGCACGAGUCUCACACACACACACACACACACACACGCCCUGGGGAUCCGUGCACGAGUCUCUCUCACACACACACACACACACGCCCUGGGGAUCCGUGCACAAGACACACACACACACACACGCCCUGGGGAUCCAUGCAUGAGACACACACACACACACACACACACGCCCUGGGGAUCCGUGCACCACACACACACACACACACCCUGGGGAUCCGUGCAUGAGUCACACACACACACACACACACACACACGCCCUGGGGAUCCGUGCACGAGUCACACACACACACACACACGCCCUGGGGAUCCAUGCACGACACACACACACACACACACACACGCCCUGGGGAACCGUGCACCACACACACACACACGCCCUGGGGAUCCAUGCACGAGACACACACACACACACACACACGCCCUGGGGAUCCGUGCACGAGUCACACACACACACACACACACACCCCCUGGGGAUCCGUGCACGAGGCACACACACACACACGCCCUGGGGAUCCAUGCACCACACACACACACACACACACACACGCCCUGGGGAUCCAUGCAUGACACACACACACACACACACACACGCCCUGGGGAUCCAUGCACGACACACACACACACACACACACACACACACACACACCCUGGGGAUCCAUGCAUGACACACACACACACACACACACACGCCCUGGGGAUCCGUGCACGACACACACACACACACACACACACACACGCCCUGGGGAUCCGUGCACGAGUCUCUCUCACACACACACACACACGCCCUGGGGAUCCGUGCACGAGACACACACACACACACACACACGCCCUGGGGAUCCAUGCACGACACACACACACACACACACACACACACGCCCUGGGGAUCCGUGCACCACACACACACACGCCCUGGGGAUCCGUGCACGAGUCUCUCUCUCACACACACACACACACACGCCCUGGGGAUCCAUGCAUGACACACACACACACACACACACACACACACGCCCUGGGGAUCCGUGCACGAGUCUCUCUCACACACACACACACACACGCCCUGGGGAUCCGUGCACGAGACACACACACACACACACACGCCCUGGGGAUCCAUGCACGACACACACACACACACACACACACACACGCCCUGGGGAUCCGUGCACCACACACACACACGCCCUGGGGAUCCGUGCACGAGUCUCUCUCUCACACACACACACACACACGCCCUGGGGAUCCAUGCACGACACACACACACACACACACACGCCCUGGGGAUCCGUGCACGAGACACACACACACACACACACGCCCUGGGGAUCCGUGCACGAGUCACACACACACACACACACGCCCUGGGGAUCCGUGCACCACACACACACACGCCCUGGGGAUCCGUGCACGAGUCUCUCUCACACACACAUACACACACACACGCCCUGGGGAUCCAUGCACGACACACACACACACACACACACGCCCUGGGGAUCCAUGCAUGAGACACACACACACACACACACGCCCUGGGGAUCCGUGCACCACACACACACACACACACACACACGCCCUGGGGAUCCGUGCACGAGUCUCACACACACACACACACACACACACGCCCUGGGGAUCCGUGCACGAGUCUCUCUCACACACACACACACACACGCCCUGGGGAUCCGUGCACAAGACACACACACACACACACGCCCUGGGGAUCCAUGCAUGA
Long non-coding RNA from Phocoena sinus (vaquita), 2028 nucleotides. NCBI's taxonomy places the organism in Eukaryota, Metazoa, Chordata, Mammalia, Artiodactyla, Phocoenidae. The record is from Ensembl.